CCUACGGGAGGCAGCAGUGAGGAAUAUUGGUCAAUGGGCUUACGCCUGAACCAGCCAAGUCGCGUGAGGGAAGACUGCUCUAUGGGUUGUAAACCUCUUUUGUCAGGGAGCAAUUGGCGCUACGUGUAGCGUUAUCGAGAGUACCUGAAGAAAAAGCAUCGGCUAACUCCGUGCCAGCAGCCGCGGUAAUACGGAGGAUGCGAGCGUUAUCCGGAUUUAUUGGGUUUAAAGGGUGCGUAGGCGGAAUGCCAAGUCAGCGGGAAAAUCGCGGGGCUCAACCUCGCUCCGCCGUUGAAACUGGCGUUCUUGAGUGGGCGAGAGGUAUGCGGAAUGCGUGGUGUAGCGGUGAAAUGCAUAGAUAUCACGCAGAACUCCGAUUGCGAAGGCAGCAUACCGGAGCCCAACUGACGCUGAAGCACGAAAGCGUGGGUAUCGAACAGGAUUAGAUACCCCAGUAGUC
This 460-nucleotide ribosomal RNA is filed under the name uncultured bacterium. RNAcentral's name for it is "partial 16S ribosomal RNA". It matches the Rfam family "Bacterial small subunit ribosomal RNA", at positions 338 to 795 of the family's 1533-position model. The record is from RNAcentral.